CUCUGCCCAUCCCCACGCAUGUGCACUGUCUCCCUCUCUCCCCCUCUCUCUUUCUCUCUAAAAUAAGUCUUUUUUUUUUUUUAAGAAAGAAUAGAAUCCUUUCAGAAACUUUCAUGUGGAGUUAUUCUAGGGUGUGAAAUAUAAAAUUAAGAAAACAUGAUAUUUUAGUAGAUGUCCACAAUAGAAAGUGUAAAGCAACUCUCUUAAGGACUUGGCAUUGGAAACAUGCUGCUCCAUUUUCACCAUUUCUCCAAGGAUUCUUUGGAGAGCACAGCCAUCAUUUAAAUCAUCGUUCUUGCAUUAGAAAGAUUCUUGCUUUUCUCCUGUUCUCGAUGGAUCCUACUGAGAAGGCAGCCAUCUUUUAAGUCAUCUUUGUGGGACAGGUCAUGUUCCUAGGGUCCUGGGAUUGAACCCCGCAUCUGUCUCCCUGCUCAGUGGGGAACCUGCAUUUCCCUCUGCCUUCUGCUCCUCCUGCUUGUGUG
This 482-nucleotide long non-coding RNA is filed under the name Mustela putorius furo (domestic ferret). RNAcentral describes it as "lncRNA (ENSMPUG00000025829.1)". The record is from RNAcentral. Lineage: Eukaryota; Metazoa; Chordata; Mammalia; Carnivora; Mustelidae.